Molecule: long non-coding RNA, 161 nt
Organism: Octopus sinensis (East Asian common octopus)
Lineage: Eukaryota; Metazoa; Mollusca; Cephalopoda; Octopoda; Octopodidae
Exons: 2
Source: RefSeq, a predicted model, not a curated record
GUGCUUUAGCUUCGUUACUAUGGCAACAGUCCAGAUACUUAUUGAUCAGACCUCAUAUAGGUUCCAGAAUAAAGAGUUGGAGGGGGUGGUCAGAUAUUUGGCAGUGGAGAAAAGAGAAAGGGUGCUAAAAAAGGAAAGAAAGAAAGAGGAGAGAUAGCAAA